GAGUGAACUAGCUAACUGAAAUCAUAAAAUCAUUAAUAGUGGUGGUAUGAUAACGUAAGGAAAAAUAAUGAUAUAACCUUACUAUUAGUGUUGUCCAAAGUUGGUGCCAGAAGACUCGGUAAGGCCAAAGACGCAAACGUUAAUCGUCCUAAUCAGGCGUAAAGGGUAUGUAGGCGGCUUUAAAAGUUUUAUUUAUAAUAGCUCUUUUUCUUUCCUUCCCUAGGUUAACUAAGGUUAAUUCACCAAUCCUCUUUCCUUUUCUUUUCUCAAAUUAGGAAAGGUCAGGAUAAAUAAGGUAGGUUGCUUCGCCAUAAAAAUAAGAAAGAUAAUAUAAAAUGAAUUAAAGCUAGAAUCAUAAAGAGGAUAAACCAAAUAAUACUUAGAGUAGGGAUGAUAUCUUUAGAUACUAAGGGGAAUACUAACGGUGAAAGCUUUUUAUCUAAUAAUGAUUGACGCUGAGAUACGAAGGUGAGAAUAGGAAAUAGGAUUAGAUACCCAGAUACCUCUCACUGUCAACGAUGAAUGGUGGUUGUUAGUAAUAAUAAAACUAGUAACGAUGUUAACACGAUAACCAUUCCGCCUUGCGAGUACGGUUGCAAAACUGAAACCAAAAAAAUUAGUCGGUCUCGGAGCAAACGAAGUGAAGCAUGUUAUUUAAUU
Molecule: ribosomal RNA, 660 nt
Filed under: Lulesia fallax
Lineage: Eukaryota; Fungi; Basidiomycota; Agaricomycetes; Agaricales; Entolomataceae
Description: Clitocella fallax partial small subunit ribosomal RNA
Rfam family: Bacterial small subunit ribosomal RNA
Source: RNAcentral